GAUGAAGAACGUAGCGAAAUGCGAUAAGUAAUGUGAAUUGCAGAAUUCAGUGAAUCAUCGAAUCUUUGAACGCACAUUGCGCCCCUUGGUAUUCCGGGGGGCAUGCCUGUUCGAGCGUCAUUUCAACCCUCAAGCUCUGCUUGGUAUUGGGCACCGUCCUUUGCGGGCGCGCCUCAAAGACCUCGGCGGUGGCGUCUUGCCUCAAGCGUAGUAGAAUACACCUCGCUUCGGAGCGUAAGGCGUCGCCCGCCGGACGAACCUUCUGAACUUUUCUCAAGGUUGACCUCGUAUCAGGUAGGGAUACCCGCUGAACUUAAGCAUAUCAAUAAGCGGAGGA
RNAcentral lists this unclassified non-coding RNA (337 nucleotides) under soil metagenome. RNAcentral's name for it is "partial contains 5.8S ribosomal RNA, internal transcribed spacer 2, and large subunit ribosomal RNA". The stretch from base 1 to 120 matches the Rfam family "5.8S ribosomal RNA", at positions 35 to 154 of the family's 154-position model. The record is from RNAcentral.